CGGCACUUGGCGGUACAGCCUUCCUCCUCCAUUCCAUGGAGCGCAGCAAAAGGGCUCCAAACCGCUCAGUCUCGCCCCGGGCGGGAGCGGGGCGACCAGGAAGAUGAACGGAAGUGCACGUGCCGCCCUCUGGGAGAUGUAGUUCGGCGCCCGCCCACCCAGGCGCAGUAGCGGCCCGUGGCGGGCUUGGCCUUCGUCCUCCAUUCCCGGAAGGAGCUCGGCGUGGUAGGGUCCCAGGGUGGGAGAAAAGGCAGAGCUCAGUAUUCGAACCCCUCAGCCUAGGCCCUGGGCGGGGGCGGGGCGCACCGGAAGACGACCGGAAGCGCACGUGCUGCCUUCUGGGAGACGUAGUUAGGCGUCCCUGCGCAGGCGCAGGUUGGUUGGUGGCUGCCGUGGCCUUUGUCCUACAGUCCGGUGGAACUGCCUGCCGAGGAGCUGGCUGUUCCUGCAAGAGGCCCAAGGAGGAGGGAAUGACCGCUGGGCUCCUCACUGCCAGGGACCCGGGAGGUGGUUCAGCCACAUGGCCAGUAGGGGGACGCGCUGGACCCAGACUACCCAAGAUCAAAUCCUGGCUCAGCCCUUUCUCCCUGGGUGAUUUUGGGUGACUUCGUUGGCGUCCUCCCUGGGUGAACAGUGGUUGGAUGUGAUCACCCGUGGCCUGGGGUUAUUAAGUGAGCAAUCCACGUGCAUCUUUCAGCACCAUCUAUGUGUUUGCUCUGAAUUUUGUUUUUAAGGUUCACAAGUUUAAAGUUCUUAAUGUAUCAAAACCAUGAUAUCCUUCAUAGUGAUUUCUAGGUUGAUGAAUUGGCUUAUUUAUUUUUUUAAUAAAUAAUAUCCCAUAA
Molecule: long non-coding RNA, 842 nt
Filed under: Delphinapterus leucas (beluga whale)
Lineage: Eukaryota; Metazoa; Chordata; Mammalia; Artiodactyla; Monodontidae
Description: lncRNA (ENSDLEG00000000118.1)
Source: RNAcentral